UGUUAAAAACUUCAUCCAUUUGUACUGUUAAAAAAUUGACAUGGCUAAUUUUAAUGUACAGGGAUCAGUUUUUAAUAAUAGAAAUAGAUAGAGUUUUUAACA
Non-coding RNA from Gossypium hirsutum (cotton), 102 nucleotides. The record is from Rfam. NCBI's taxonomy places the organism in Eukaryota, Viridiplantae, Streptophyta, Magnoliopsida, Malvales, Malvaceae.